Molecule: transfer RNA, 88 nt
Filed under: Psychrilyobacter atlanticus
Lineage: Bacteria; Fusobacteriati; Fusobacteriota; Fusobacteriia; Fusobacteriales; Fusobacteriaceae
Also listed under: 1 other name
Rfam family: tRNA
About the family: Transfer RNA (tRNA) molecules are approximately 80 nucleotides in length.
Source: RNAcentral
GGUGGGAUGUCCGAACUGGCUAAGGAGCCGGUCUUGAAAACCGGUGAACCCGCAAGGGGUCUGGGUUCGAGUCCCAGUCCCAUCGCCA